RNAcentral lists this unclassified non-coding RNA (279 nucleotides) under plant metagenome. Its description in RNAcentral is "partial contains small subunit ribosomal RNA, internal transcribed spacer 1, and 5.8S ribosomal RNA". The record is from RNAcentral.
UUUCCGUAGGUGAACCAGCGGAGGGAUCAUUACAGAGUAGCAAAACUCCCAGAACUAUCGCUGACCCAACACUACAUGCACGCCCGAGUGCCCCCCCACACCCCCAACUCACCCCUGUGCCCACCACCGCGCCGGUCCACCCUUGGCUUGUUCAGAAGGGGCCUUCCGUUUUCACUCAUACUAUAAAUUCAGUCUAUAAUGAAUUUUUUUUUUUUUCGAUCCCGCGAUCAAUACCACUGUAAACAACGGAACCCUUCGCUCUCGCACCGAUGAAGAACC